This 2769-nucleotide long non-coding RNA is filed under the name Strongylocentrotus purpuratus (purple sea urchin). RNAcentral's name for it is "uncharacterized LOC753167". The record is from RNAcentral. Lineage: Eukaryota; Metazoa; Echinodermata; Echinoidea; Camarodonta; Strongylocentrotidae.
GAAAUCCACAUCCCGAAGAGGACGACCAGAAAUAAUCAAAGACCAAGCUUCCGCCGACCCAAAUAAACUUAUACCAUCACCAUGAAAAGCACUGUGAUUGUAACGCUUACGAUAUGCUGUCUUUUAUACCAAACAACUAGGGCGGCAUCGUUAACCAACAGAGACGGACUCUCAAGACAAGACAUCCUAGAUCUUCUUCAGCUCUAUGAAGAACCAAUAAGACAAGAGGGUGGCGACAAGAGGUCAAAAGGUUGCGGGAGUUUUAGUGGUUGUAUGCAAAUGGAAGUGGCAAAGAACCGAGUGGCUGCUCUUUUAAGAAACAGUAACGCCCAUCUUUUUGGUCUAAAUGGACCCGGCAAGAGACGACGAUCGGUCGACGAUCUUCCCCAGGUCAACGACGCAGAGACGGAGUAGAUUCAACAGCGCCAUCUAGAGUUCAUCACACCUUGUUUUUGUCCUCCUUCCAGCCUUCUUCUUUCUCUAUUUCCCUGACCACCUAUGCCCCCCCCCCCAUCUCUCUUUCUCUCUCCCUUUUUUUUCUUCUCUCUCUCCCCCUCUCUCUUCAAGGCUCUGUCGAGAUCCCAAAGCUAGGGGAGUCCCCACUGUGAUCAUCUCGCCAAGCAUAUCUUUGUCCAGCUGACAAUAUCGGACUCGGGCCCUAACCACUCGGUACAAAUGAUGAUUGCCUUCUUUAGGACUCAGUACGGAUAGAAAAUUUAAGAGAUUAAUAUGUUUUGUGUUAUCAAUAAUGAUGGAGGUCUUUAGAAGUAAAACCUAUGAGGUUAAUAUAUGCAUUUGCAAUGAAAAUGUAUUUAAAACAAUUUUAAAGUUCAUUUUGAACUUUUUGUUAACGAUUUGAAGUGAGAAUCAUUAUGGGAUUCGUUAAAUGAGCAAGACCUUUGAUAAGUGUGAAAAUAAUGAAAACUAAAAUGGGGUGAAACUGAAAGCCGCUAGGAUGGAUAUCCAACUAUGAGCCACCCCUUAAAAACAAAAUAUCGUUAAUUUUCACCGAAUUCGACCCUUUUUACAUUUAAUUGUCAGUUGUUAUAUCAUCAAAAUUUCUUCAUAUUCACGUGAAUUCUAUUUAAAUACAGAUUAUUGCUUGUAUACUGAUAUACAUUAAUGUUUUAGAUGAAAUCAAUUCUGAAGUUAUUCAAAAAGGGAGCUCUUAUUAAACUCGCACACUUAUAGCAACUUUAUGUUCACAUUUCCUUAAAACUGUUUGAUAAAUAGUUCGCUCUCAUGAAUUCAAAAGCAAUUAAAUCAGCAUUGUCGUAGAAAAUAAAUCGAAGGAAAUAUGAAAUUUGUCAUUUUUUCUUUCGUAAUAUCCCAAUUUCUCAACUGCCUCUGCCAAAACCAACCCAAUUUAAAAGAGUUCCAUCCUGAAGUGCAAUAAAACUGUAAUCACAUUUGCCUCAAUGGAAAAACAAUUCACCUCAAAAUGCCCAUUAUUACAAGGAAACAGGUUUUGAUGUAUGAACUUCAGACAUUUUAUAUAUUUUUCUUCUUUUUUUCUCCAUUGAGUGGUAUUAAAUUGUAAACGCUCAUACAAAUAUUAUCGAAUACAUUUUGUUGAAUUUACAACUUAACCUCGCUUGCAAUCUUAUACGGUAUUUGACAUUUAUUUUUAACGGCAGUUGUUAGUUGGGGAUGACCGAAUUUUGAGGACAUUGGAAUUAAUUAUCCUUAUUUAUCGAAAGAGUUACAUAGCGAAUCACGAUGAACUUGUUGCCUCUCGCAUUAUAUAUUUAUAUAAUUAGAAUGAAAGAUUUACCAAAACAAUCCCCUCAUCCGUCAAAGGAGGAGAAAAAAAUAUUGUUCUGUUAUUGAAUCUUGUCCAAGGUUAUUGAAUAUUUUCUUUCGCCGUGUCUUUGUUCCCAGCAUGCAGCAGGCAGUGAAGUUCAAAGGUCAUGCAUAAUUCAUGAACUGUGACGUACUAGGUCCUCAAAAUCGGUGAUUUCUGACCUUUCAUUCCAUUUUAAAACGCUGACAGCCUAUUUUGAAAGAUAUGUCCAAAUAUUGAACACAUUUUAAGGGUUUAUAAUUAUUUGUACUUUUGACCUUUUAAAUGACAACCUACUGUUGGAGGCUCCGUGCAAUUAAGACUAAGGAAGAAUUUUCUGUAAAUAUUGGAUAUAUAGGCCUAUAUAUAAUAUGCAUCUACUUAUUAAUCUUUGCUUUGCAUUAUGUUUGUAAAUAAGAUAUUCAUUUCCUAGAUGACCAAUUGUUAGCAUCUUUCCAAAUCAUUUCAUAUAAAAAAAGCUUCGAUUUUCAUCUUCUUGCACAGUUUGCUAUUAUCACAAAUGUUUCAUGUAGCACGACUGAUGGAGUUACCUUUUAUUGUAAAUUAUAUAGAACAUUUUCAAUUUUUAAGAAGUGUAUUAAAUGAAUCUGAUUCCUCUGAGAAAUGCGAAAUAUCUGAUCUCUCAUUUUUAAUUAAUGGAUUUUGGGUUAAUUCUUUUUGACAUUUUCAAUAUACAUUAACAGUCUAUACUAAGCGUUAUGUUUUGUAUUGAACUGAUAGUGUCCAAUGAGUAUCAUUCCAUACUGAAAAAAUUAAGAAAAAACACGAUUCAUGAUUACCUUUACGUAUCACAAAGUAAUUAAUCAAUAUUAUACAUUGACUCCUAAUGCACUCGUUGAUGUUUACUUUAUUAUAUGCUGACGUACUCUAUAGAAUUAGACGAGCUUUGUUCAUUUAUUAUUCUUUGCAAGAAUUUCCACCGUUGAUGAAAAUUAAUGGAAUUAAAAUGCUUUAUUUCACUAUCA